RNAcentral lists this ribosomal RNA (736 nucleotides) under Campylobacter coli. RNAcentral's name for it is "partial 23S ribosomal RNA". It matches the Rfam family "Bacterial large subunit ribosomal RNA", at positions 467 to 1201 of the family's 2925-position model. The record is from RNAcentral. Lineage: Bacteria; Pseudomonadati; Campylobacterota; Epsilonproteobacteria; Campylobacterales; Campylobacteraceae.
UAAAUACUAAUACCAGAUCGAUAGUGCACAAGUACCGUGAGGGAAAGGUGAAAAGAACUGAGGUGAUCAGAGUGAAAUAGAACCUGAAACCAUUUGCUUACAAUCAUUCAGAGCCCUAUGUAGCAAUACAGGGUGAUGGACUGCCUUUUGCAUAAUGAGCCUGCGAGUUGUGGUGUCUGGCAAGGUUAAGCAAACGCGAAGCCGUAGCGAAAGCGAGUCUGAAUAGGGCGCUUAGUCAGAUGCUGCAGACCCGAAACGAAGUGAUCUAUCCAUGAGCAAGUUGAAGCUAGUGUAAGAACUAGUGGAGGACUGAACCCAUAGGCGUUGAAAAGCCCCGGGAUGACUUGUGGAUAGGGGUGAAAGGCCAAUCAAACUUCGUGAUAGCUGGUUCUCUCCGAAAUAUAUUUAGGUAUAGCGUUGUGUCGUAAUAUAAGGGGGUAGAGCACUGAAUGGGCUAGGGCAUACACCAAUGUACCAAACCCUAUCAAACUCCGAAUACCUUAUAUGUAAUCACAGCAGUCAGGCGGCGAGUGAUAAAAUCCGUCGUCAAGAGGGAAACAACCCAGACUACCAGCUAAGGUCCCUAAAUCUUACUUAAGUGGAAAACGAUGUGAAGUUACUUAAACAACCAGGAGGUUGGCUUAGAAGCAGCCAUCCUUUAAAGAAAGCGUAAUAGCUCACUGGUCUAGUGAUUUUGCGCGGAAAAUAUAACGGGGCUAAAGUAAGUACCGAAGCU